Long non-coding RNA from Suricata suricatta (meerkat), 500 nucleotides. RefSeq lists it as uncharacterized. NCBI's taxonomy places the organism in Eukaryota, Metazoa, Chordata, Mammalia, Carnivora, Herpestidae. The record is from RefSeq and is a predicted model, not a curated record. The transcript is spliced from 3 exons.
CUGGAGACAAAGGAGGCCCGGAGGCUCUUGAGCCGAGGACAGACGAGGCCGCGGCAGAAUUGUAGGAGGACAAACCUGGAGGCUCAUCCCUUCCAACUUCGGCCUCAUCUCUUCUUUGACGUUGUUCUGGAAGGAGUCGAGAUGGCUGCCUUGCACACCACGGGGCUCCAAGCGACCUUGUAGCUCAACAGUUUCCAUCGGCAGUGGGCGCCUUGUAGCUGGAUGAUUCAGACCACAGAGAACCUCGAGAUAGGGGACCGGGCCACAUCGCCGGGCCACUGAAGGAUUAUUGUUUAGGUACCACCUGCUCUCCAAGCCGCAUGCCGUAAGGAAUGCACCUGCCCAGAGCAGGCUCCGUUCACUCCCUUGUAACAAGGUUCUUCUUGGACCACCUACAUGGCCCUCCUGCCCUCGGCAUCCUCAAGUUCCCAGCCCAAUCUCCCACCAUCACCACUGACAUGUUUUACUAGUUCCUUGUAAAGUUGCUUUCUCUGUCGGAA